RNAcentral lists this ribosomal RNA (340 nucleotides) under Nematodes sp. OTU391. RNAcentral's name for it is "SSU rRNA". It matches the Rfam family "Eukaryotic small subunit ribosomal RNA", at positions 1300 to 1664 of the family's 1831-position model. The record is from RNAcentral. Lineage: Eukaryota; Metazoa; Arthropoda; Insecta; Coleoptera; Eucnemidae.
GGUGGAGUGAUUUGUCUGGUUAAUUCCGAUAACGAACGAGACUCUGGCCUACUAACUAGUGAGUGGAUCUUUCGUCCGCUCGACUUCUUAGAGGGACAAGCAGCGUUUAGCUGCAUGAAAAAGAGCAAUAACAGGUCUGUGAUGCCCUUAGAUGUCCGGGGCUGCACGCGCGCUACACUGAAGGAAUCAGCGUGUGGGACUGCCUGGCUUGAAAGAGUUGGGUAAUCCGGUGAAAAUCCUUCGUGAUUGGGAUCGGGACUUGCAAUUAUUUCCCUUGAACGAGGAAUCCCUAGUAAGUACGGGUCAUCAGCUCGUGCUGAUUACGUCCCUGCCCUUUGUA